Molecule: ribosomal RNA, 207 nt
Filed under: uncultured bacterium
Lineage: Bacteria
Description: partial 16S ribosomal RNA
Rfam family: Bacterial small subunit ribosomal RNA
Source: RNAcentral
UGUGUAGGCGGCCCUGUAAGUCGGGUGCGAAAGCCCUGGGCUCAACCCAGGAAGUGCACUCGAAACUGCGAGGCUAGAGUAUCGGAGAGGUUGGUGGAAUUCUCGGUGUAGAGGUGAAAUUCGUAGAUAUCGAGAGGAACACCGGCGGCGAAGGCGGCCAACUGGACGAAUACUGACGCUGAGACACGAAAGCGUGGGGAGCAAACA